This 493-nucleotide ribosomal RNA is filed under the name uncultured bacterium. RNAcentral's name for it is "bacterial SSU rRNA". It matches the Rfam family "Bacterial small subunit ribosomal RNA", at positions 43 to 507 of the family's 1533-position model. The record is from RNAcentral.
CGUGCUUAACACAUGCAAGUCGAACGAGAAGAGAUGAGAAGCUUGCUUCUUAUUAAUUCGAGUGGCAAACGGGUGAGUAACGCGUAAGCAACCUGCCCUUCAGAUGGGGACAACAGCUGGAAACGGCUGCUAAUACCGAAUACGUCUUUUUGUCGCAUGGCAGAGGGAAGAAAGGGAGGCUCUUCGGAGCUUUCGCUGAAGGAGGGGCUUGCGUCUGAUUAGCUAGUUGGAGGGGUAACGGCCCACCAAGGCGAUGAUCAGUAGCCGGUCUGAGAGGAUGAACGGCCACAUUGGGACUGAGACACGGCCCAGACUCCUACGGGAGGCAGCAGUGGGGAAUCUUCCGCAAUGGGCGAAAGCCUGACGGAGCAAUGCCGCGUGAGUGAUGAAGGAAUUCGUUCCGUAAAGCUCUUUUGUUUAUGACGAAUGUGCAGAUUGUGAAUAAUGAUCUGUAAUGACGGUAGUAAACGAAUAAGCCACGGCUAACUACGUG